Molecule: transfer RNA, 82 nt
Filed under: Jatropha curcas
Lineage: Eukaryota; Viridiplantae; Streptophyta; Magnoliopsida; Malpighiales; Euphorbiaceae
Rfam family: tRNA
About the family: Transfer RNA (tRNA) molecules are approximately 80 nucleotides in length.
Source: Rfam by way of RNAcentral
AUAGGUAUGCUGGAAUUGGUAGACAGGUCCCGCUUAGGACGGGAUGAUUUUAAUCAUGCAAGUUCAAUUCUUGUUACCUAUA